CCUAUAAUUGAAACCACUGGCUAAUCUGAACCUCUCAUUAUUUUGAAGAGGAAACUAAAGCCAGAGAGGGUGGACACCUGUGGGCUCAUGGGCAGCUGGGUUUAGAGAUAGCUGAUUUUCAUGUUCUUAGGCUGUCAGUAGAGACCUUCAAUUUAUGCAGUCCAGAUAUCUCAGGAAGAGAGGCAGAGGGGGCUUAGUGUGGAACAGGUUUUGCUGCAGUGAGGGUUGGGGCACUCCUUGGGGAAUAUGGGUGGAUUAGACUUGAGGCAUAUCAUUGAGGGGCCCAGGGAUUCUUAGACACUCUCCUUCCAAUUCAGAGCUCUAAGUGGGAGGGGAGGGAUGUGCUAGUACAUUAAGGAUGUUUUCUCAUUCUGAACAGGCCUCAGAAAAGCACCUAGGAGCCUUUGGUCAAAAUGCAAUACAAAUCUAUCAUUGGUGACUGACUGCAUGGAGCAUGUGCUUACCGCCUGCCACCCCUGCACUUGCUACACAGCUGGCUGGGACACCAAGCUUCUCUACCUCCCCAUGACCUACAUGCCUACCUUCCUGGUGGAUGCCAUGCUCCACUAGGUUCUCCAAGGCUGGCCAAGGCCCUGUGAAGCCAAGACUCAGGACAACAAGUUAACAACUAUCUACACAGAAAAGAACACCUUCAUAGAACGAACAAUCAGACACUGAAGAACAUCUACUAACAUCAACACCAUGAAGGAAAACUUGACCUCACCAAAUGAACUAAAUAAGGGACCAGGGACCAAUCCUGGAGAAACAGAUAUGUGACCUUUCAGACAAAGAAUUCAAAAUACCCGUGUUGAGGAAACUCAAAGAAAUUCAGGAUAACACAGAGAAGAAAUUUAGAAUUCUAUCAGAUAAAUUUAACAAAAAGAUUGAAAUAAUU
Molecule: long non-coding RNA, 895 nt
Organism: Gorilla gorilla gorilla (western lowland gorilla)
Lineage: Eukaryota; Metazoa; Chordata; Mammalia; Primates; Hominidae
Exons: 3
Source: RefSeq, a predicted model, not a curated record